This 250-nucleotide ribosomal RNA is filed under the name uncultured bacterium. RNAcentral's name for it is "partial 16S ribosomal RNA". It matches the Rfam family "Bacterial small subunit ribosomal RNA", at positions 28 to 279 of the family's 1533-position model. The record is from RNAcentral.
GACGAACGCUGGCGGCGUGCUUAACACAUGCAAGUCGAGCGGAAAGGCCACUUCGGUGGUACUCGAGCGGCGAACGGGUGAGUAACACGUGAGUAAUCUGCCCUUCACUCAUGGAUAACCACCGGAAACGGUGGCUAAUACAUGAUACGACAUUCGCCCGCAUGGGCUGGGUGUGGAAAGUUUUUUCGGUGGAGGAUGUGCUCGCGGCCUAUCAGCUUGUUGGUGGGGUAAUGGCCUACCAAGGCUUCGA